RNAcentral lists this ribosomal RNA (425 nucleotides) under uncultured bacterium. RNAcentral describes it as "bacterial SSU rRNA". It matches the Rfam family "Bacterial small subunit ribosomal RNA", at positions 354 to 796 of the family's 1533-position model. The record is from RNAcentral.
GUGGGGAAUCUUGCGCAAUGGGCGAAAGCCUGACGCAGCCAUGCCGCGUGAAUGAUGAAGGUCUUAGGAUUGUAAAAUUCUUUCACCGGGGACGAUAAUGACGGUACCCGGAGAAGAAGCCCCGGCUAACUUCGUGCCAGCAGCCGCGGUAAUACGAAGGGGGCUAGCGUUGCUCGGAAUUACUGGGCGUAAAGGGAGCGUAGGCGGACAUUUAAGUCAGGGGUGAAAUCCCGGGGCUCAACCUCGGAAUUGCCUUUGAUACUGGGUGUCUUGAGUGUGAGAGAGGUAUGUGGAACUCCGAGUGUAGAGGUGAAAUUCGUAGAUAUUCGGAAGAACACCAGUGGCGAAGGCGACAUACUGGCUCAUUACUGACGCUGAGGCUCGAAAGCGUGGGGAGCAAACAGGAUUAGAAACCCGUGUAGUCC